RNAcentral lists this ribosomal RNA (398 nucleotides) under uncultured bacterium. RNAcentral describes it as "bacterial SSU rRNA". It matches the Rfam family "Bacterial small subunit ribosomal RNA", at positions 137 to 518 of the family's 1533-position model. The record is from RNAcentral.
CCCGGGAUAGGCCCAGGGAAACCUGGAUUAAUACCGGAUGAGACGGGACCCGCGAAGGCCGGGACCCGGGAAAGGCGCUGCGGCGCCGCCGGGGGAUGAGUCUGCGUCCCAUUAGCUAGACGCGGGGUAACGGCCCACCGUGGCGACGAUGGGUAGCCGGCCUGAGAGGGUGGACGGCCACAUUGGAACUGAGACACGGUCCCAGACUCCUACGGGAGGCAGCAGCUAAGAAUCUUCCGCAAUGGGCGAAAGCCUGACGGGAAGCGACGCCGCGUGAACGAAGAAGGCCGUGAGGUUGUAAAGUUCUUUUCGGGAGGGGGAACAACCGUGGCAGGGAAUGGCCGCGGGAUGACGUGAAUCCCGGAAUAAGCCCCGGCUAACUACGUGCCAGCCGCCGC